Molecule: ribosomal RNA, 272 nt
Filed under: Blastocystis sp.
Lineage: Eukaryota; Bigyra; Opalinata; Blastocystidae
Description: partial small subunit ribosomal RNA
Rfam family: Eukaryotic small subunit ribosomal RNA
Source: RNAcentral
ACAAUGCGGGACUAUACGUCUUGCAAUUGGAUUGAGAACAAUGUACAACUCUUAUCGAUAAGCCAUUGGAGGGCAAGUCUGGUGCCAGCAGCCGCGGUAAUUCCAGCUCCAAUAGCGUAUAUUAACGUUGUUGCAGUUAAAAAGCUCGUAGUUGAAGUGUGGGUGAUGCCGGCUGAAUGACUUCGGUUAGUCAGAUGAUCACUACCCCCUUCCAGUAUCCAGUAGUGGGUAUUCAGUUACUUACUAUUGUGUGUUGGUCGUUUACUGUGAGA